Molecule: ribosomal RNA, 363 nt
Filed under: uncultured bacterium
Lineage: Bacteria
Description: bacterial SSU rRNA
Rfam family: Bacterial small subunit ribosomal RNA
Source: RNAcentral
GGAUGAACGCUGGCGGUGUGCCUAAUACAUGCAAGUCGAACGGGCUCUUCGGAGCUAGUGGCGGACGGGUGAGUAACACGUUGGUACCUACCCUCUAGUGGGGAAUAACUGGCCGAAAGGUCGGCUAAUACCGCAUAAUACCGCAAGGUUAAAGCAGUAAUGCGCUAGAGGAGGGGCCUGCGUCCGAUUAGCUAGUUGGUAGUGUAAUGGACUACCAAGGCGACGAUCGGUAGCUGGAUCGAGAGGUUGACCAGCCACACUGGGACUGAGAUACGGCCCAGACUCCUACGGGAGGCAGCAGUAAGGAAUCUUCCACAAUGGACGAAAGUCUGAUGGAGCAACACCGCGUGCAGGAUGACGGCC